This is a transfer RNA of 99 nucleotides. It matches the Rfam family "tRNA". From Rfam's summary of the family: Transfer RNA (tRNA) molecules are approximately 80 nucleotides in length. The record is from Rfam.
GGUCUAAUAGUGUAGAGGUUAGCACAUGGGAUUUUGAUAUGGCCGCCGACUUCGAGGCCCUAAUUUCCCAUAACCCAGGUUCGAGUCCUGGUUAGACCU